Molecule: long non-coding RNA, 37265 nt
Filed under: Citrus sinensis (sweet orange)
Lineage: Eukaryota; Viridiplantae; Streptophyta; Magnoliopsida; Sapindales; Rutaceae
Description: long non-coding RNA (CSIN_LNC005243)
Source: RNAcentral
GUAGAGUGAAAAUAAUAAUUCCAGACAUCAAUAAUGCAAAAAUCCCUCCCCCACACCAAUAACUUACAUUGUCCCCAAUGUAAGAUAAUCAAAGCUCACAUAAAAAUUAAACAUUCCACAAAGCACGGACGUUUAUUUGAGAACUUUCUCUCCUUUCAACCUACUAGGCCAAAAGCAUUCUAGACAGAUUCCAGCAAACAAUCAUUAUACAGCACCAAAAAACGAGACUAGACUAACUGACAAGCCCUAAUGAAAGUACACUAUCAGUUAUUUAUUAAUUGUCGCUCAAACCAAAUAAUACCUGUGUCGACCUGCAACAUUGUCCCAUAUAAAAAGCCCAGCUGCUGUGCAAAAGGCUCACUACUCUCCUUCUUCUCUUCCUCCAUUCCCUCCACUGCAUCAUUUUUUUAGCAACAUUGCCAUUAUCAUUAUUCCCUUUACUCACUUCCACUGCCCCCUCCGUACUCCUCUUGCAUCAUUACCCUCUAUUCCUUUGACUUUAACCGCCCCCUCUUCAUCCUCAUAAACAUCCCCUUCUUCAUCAUCUUCUUCUAAUUCUGUCAUGUUCCUCUUCGCCUUCUUCAUCAUCAUCAUACUCAGCUGAAGCACCACCUUGGCCAUCAGAUUCAUCGUAAGAAUGAAUUUGGACCCUUCAAUUAAUUCGACGCUCAAAUUCUGUCUCCUCCUCCUCAUCGCUUGUUUCCCUUCUGCGCAGAACGAGAGAGUGUGCCACUUCAUCUGGAUCGCUCUCAUACUCAUCCACAGCCUCCGCUUCUCCCGCAGGAAUAUGCACACUUUGAGCGAUUGGAAGCUCUGAAUAUCUCUCAUCCCCCGCCUCCUCCUCAUCAGUGGCUUCCCUUCUGAGCAUCACAAGAGAGCGUUUCCCGUCAUCUGGAACCCUACCAUACUCCACCGCCUCUGCUUCUUCCGGAGCUACGGCCGCCGUUGUAGUAUCGCUAGCCAUCAAUUAAUUAUUAAACGCCCAAUCGUUUUAUGAAUUUUAAUUUUAAUUUUAUAAAAAAAAAUCGAAAUUGCAUUUAACCCUUCAAACUGAAACCGUAACUAGACGAAAUUGUACUCAACAAAACCCAAUAAUCUGAAAAUCCCUAAAAAUCCAAAUUAUUUUCAGAACCGAACAACAAUUUAAGGAUACGAGACAAGCAAAAUCCACUAAAAAAUACUAAAUUUUGAAGCGAAUCCUCGACAAUCGAAACGCUAGGGAGGUUAAAUUGAGAUUUUCAAGGAUUGGGAUCUAGGUUUAGCGAUUCUUGAGAAACCUAGAUUUUUAGGUAACGAGGAGAAAUUUUUAUAAUUUUCCCUUUAAAUAAAGACUGUAAGGAUACGUCGUCAUCAGUCGAAUCGAGGAUAGUAUUUAUACGAGUAGAGUGAAGGUAAUUAUCUUGACUUUGUAAGGGUUUCUUUGGAAAUACAAAGAAAGUUUGGGGAUUGGUCAGAGAGUGACACGUGGAAUGAGAACAUUGUUUAACUUCUGGCGUAAGAUAAUAAGAUAUGAUUCGGUCACUAUGAGUUACAAUUGCAUGGCCACAGCCAGUUAGCCACAGGCUUAUUAACGCUAAUUAUAUUUGUUUUGUAGUUGUGUUUGCUUCAAAUUGAAUCUUGAAUCUUGAAGUUGAAUCUAAGGCGUGAAGAAAAAUGGAUCAAUGAGAUUAUGCCAUGGAAGCAUCUAAAAAAAUAUUGUGAUGUGUUUACUUCUCGAACUAAAAAUUGAAAUCAUUAACAUCAUUUACUUGACAAAUAAAUGUAAGAAUUGGAAUCGAAAUACUGGAAUCCACAUCAAAUUAGAGAGAGAGAAUGGGAGAUUAAUUUUUAGGAUGGUUGGAAAUCAGUCUCUUGUUCACUGAACUAUACAAUUUGCUCAUAUUAAAAUUACUAAAUUUUGAAAAUACACCCCAAUAAAUUAAAAAAUAUAAAUAAAAAAGAAAUCAUAACACCAGCAUCACACAUUGCUUUAUCAGUGGUCAUGUGAGAUCACAACAUCGAGAUUGGGAUCUAGUUGGCUGAUCAUAACUGGUUGUCUCCAUUUGGGCACAUCAUCUUUGAAGCAGAAAUUGGUUGCCGGGAUCUUCAUCGUCUUCAGCUUCACUAUCCAAUCUUCAUUGGGCGGUCUUCACUACUAGUAAUAAUAAUAAUAAUGAUUUAUUAAAUUUAUUAUUAUUGUCUCUAUUAUUAUUAUUAUUAUUUUCAUUUUUAGUAUUAUUUUUAUUCUUAUUAUUAUUAACAAUAUAACAUAUACAAAUAAUACUAGAGACAACAAUUACCAAAUGAUUUUUUAGUAACAUGUAAUAGUCUAUUAUAAUUUUAAGAGAAACUAAACACAUCAAUUUGAGUAAAAUUUAUUCCGAUUCCGAUUCAUACAACUUAAAUAAACAACUUAUUUUGAUUAUAAUUCCUUAUUUCAAAUCAAGUCCAUUCCAAUUCUAACUCAUUCUAAUUCUCAUUUAGUAAAGACACCAUUAAAGAGGACAUAAUCAAUGUAUCGUAUUGGUUUCUUUGUUGUCUUUUGAGAGACCCACAAACCAUAUGCAAUUUUUGCUUCCAUUAAAUAUUUAUUUGUCAACUUACAUUACAUUGUAUUAUAUUGUACUAAAAUAUUAUUUUCAUUCUAACUCAUAUUUGGUUAUAAUUUUUUGAUGCAUUGCACUGCAUUAUAAAUGUGUUAAUAUAAUAAAAGGUGUAUAAAAUAAACUCAUUGGGGGUAAGAUUUAUACUAUAAUACAUUAUAAUACUAUUUAGAUUUUCAAUAUAAUCAUUUAGCUUUUAUUAUUUAACAAAUUAUAAUAAAUUUAAAUUAGUAAAUAUUAAUUUAUGUUCAUAUGUAAAUAAAAAAUAAUUUAAAUAAUAAUAUAACAUACUAAAAACCUAAACAUUUAUUAAAUAAAUGUUUAUACAUUAUCGAAUAGAAUUUUCGAUGUUUAAAGUGGGAACGAAAAGAUUAUAAUAUAAAAGAUUAACAAUUUCAAUAAUUUUAGACUAAGUUGCUAGUCCUGACAGCCAAAUAUAACAUUUGAUUAAAUUAAUUUUUUAGUUCCAAAAAUAUAAUCCAAUCCCAAAAUUUAUCCAUGCUCACUACGUAGCCUUACUAACCAAUUAUAAUGAAAUUGAGGCCUUUAUAUAAAUUACAAAUAAAUUUUCAAUAUCAAGAUCAAAGUCACUGCAACAUUGAAAAAAUAAAAAUCUAAUUUUAGGCCGUUUGUGAUUUCAAGCAUUUGUUUCAUUUGCAGUUUCCGAUUACUUUAAAACAAAACAUUUGAAUGAAUUACUAUUGAGUAGAGUUUUCAAUGUCAUUUAGGUAAUUAAAAAAAUAAUAAGUAAUGGACAUUGAAUGACUUUAAUAAUUAAGAUCACGCUUAUGAUUAAAAGAAAAUAAAGGGUUUAUUUUUUAAUUUGAAAAUUUUAUUGCAUAGACUCAAUCUAAUUAACAUAUUAAAUGUUUGUAAGAUAAAUAUAUUUCUCAUAAUCUGUAAGUCGUCUUAAAUGAUAUCAUGUCUUAUAUAUGUAGUAUAAUCCUUUAAAUCCCACUUUAGACAUUAUUGGCAAUUUUUCAAACUAAUUAAUUGUGUUAAAACAAUUUUAUGAUGCUCCAAAGAUUAUUGGUUCAUAAUUUGCGUGUGUAAAAUUAUACUAGAGUAUUUAUGUUUAAGUUUUUUCACUUCAUUGUACUUUCUCUAUAAUUAUCUCUAGUAUUUAUACAAAAAUGUUUAAUUCAUACGAACUUAAUCAUAUUUCAAUAAUAUUACUCAUGCUCUUUUUCAAUUGAAAAUUACUUAACUAAUAAAAAAUAAAUUAAUUUAUUUCUUAUUUUUAAUUUAAAACUCAGUUAAAUACUUAAAUGAAUUAUUCUUUUAACAAUUUUUUAACCCACUCCAUUCUCUAUUUUAUAUUUAUAUUUUAAAUUAAAAAAUAUAUUUUUAAAAAAUUAUGGGAGUUUAGAGUUAUGGAGAUAUAAACUAUAUAAUAAGAAGAAAAUAAUUUAAUAGUUUAGGACUUGCAUGAAUUUUAUAAUAAAAAUAGAUAAGGAAUAUAUUUUUAGGUUGAAAUUUAUGAGAAAAAGAUUAAAUUUAACAAAUGGAUUUAUUUUUUUAUAAAUUAAACUGAAUGUAUUUUAAAAAAAAAUUAAAAGUGGCGUUGUAAGUAUUUUGGUGGAGGUAAUGAUUGAAAACUCUACUCAUAUCCAUUUUAUCAAAUGGCUGGCAAAACAGUCUCUCGUGUCAAAUUGAAAAUUUGAAAUAUCCGCGAGUAAUAUUUUCCUUUAUCAAAGAGGAAGCAUGAAACCUUGAGCGAAGAUUAAUGGAGAAAAUAGGAGAACAUGUGGACAAAUAAGAUUAAUGAAAAGAAUUUUGCCUAUAAUACAAGAGACUUGUUUGUUGCUGUCAAAUUGCUCUUGACUCCAGGUUCAGAAAACAACCAUAACUACUAAUACUCUUACACUCUAUUAUUGAAGUUAUUCUCUAUGAAGAUUAGAAUUUCAUUACCUGUCAAAGAAAAGAAAAUUAAUUUAAAAUUUUCUUUUGAUGAACCUCAAUAGUAUUAGAGAAGCUUUAUUGAAUAAACAUAAAAAGGAUACGUGUAAUUAGGAGAGGGCAUAAUCAACCUUACCCCUAAAAACAAACUACAUUCAAACCAACAAAAACAUAAAGGAGAACGAAAAAUACAUGCAUGCAAAUUAAAGAAAGCAAGAGCAGUAACAAAACAUAUCAACAAAAGUUGUAUGAAGGAUAACCGUUCAAGUCUCUGAAAAGGAUAGCAAGCAAUGAAGGAGGGCCAGAAUCAAUUUAAAUUUGAUUGUCUUACACAUCUGCCUCCAACAUUUCUAAGUAAUGAGUCUCUAAUUUUUAAGAGUUUUGUUACAAUUUCUUUUGCAUUGAUUCUCUGCUUAGGAAAUUCCAUAGUGCACUCCAUAGCCAAAUUGAAGACAAAUGACACACAUUGCUCUUUUGCAACAAAAUGUAUGUCCUCCUGACUUAGCAAAUUAGCAUCAACAACUUCCAUAGUGGAAAUGGGUAGCCAAUCAUUAACCCAAUGCUUUAAUGUCAUUUCUCCAUUAAACAUUUCAUCUGUGGGUUUCUUCCCAGUAAAUGUUUCCAUUAACAUAAUCCCAAAGCUAUAAACAUCUCCAUUUGCGGAUACUCGUCCUUCUCUUCCAUACUCUAUGAAUUGCAACAUUUACAUAGUAAGAUAUAUCAUUAAUAAGAAUUUCCUCAUCUAAUAAAGAUCAUGAAACAUAAAUAACUUGUUAGGAAGUUAACAAGAAAUAUAAAAUAUUCAUAUUGAACAAACCUGGUGCCAUAUAGCCUAUUGUGGCAAGUGUUUGUGUUUGAAUCAUAGAUUGAUCUUCUCCAGUUAACAUUUUUGCGAUGCUAAAAUCACUCAAAUGAGCAACCAUAUUAUCGUCUAACAACACAUUGCUGGGCUUUAAGUCACAAUGAAUUACUGGAGCUGAGUAACCAAAGUGCAGAUAUUCUAAAGCUGAUGCAACAUCUAUCAUUAUGUUCAAUCUUUGAAAAAUAUCCAAAAUGCAGUUACUUGAAUACAAGUACUUCUCCAAACUUCCAUGAGGCAUGUAUUCUAAUACCAAUGCUUUAAACUCUUCAUUUGAACAACUGCUAAUAACUUUGAUAAGGUUUCGAUGGCGAAUACUUUUCAUGAUUUCACAUUCAACAUCGAAACUCUUAAAUGCUCUUCCACAUUGCGAAGUGAAGACCUUCACUGCAACCUCCAUCCCGUCCCCAAGGCUUGCCUUAUAAACAGAGCCAAACCCUCCUCUGCCGAUUAGAUUGUUUUCACUGAAUCCAUCUGUUGCUCGACAUAGUUCUAGGUAUGAAAACAUUCUCCUUGAUGCUACUAGUGGCCCAUUAGCAUCAUUCGAUGGUCGUUUUCCCCUUUGUCGAUAUCUUAGGAUUAACAAAAUGACUACUAUCAUAAAUGUAGUACUCAAUGGCAAGACAAUCCCUAAGAGAAUAGAUUUUUUCCAUGAUUUGUGGUGGAUGCUAGUUUUGCAUGGCGGGAUUUGUAAAUUGGGUGAACCACAUAAUAAUUCAUUUCCCUCAAAUGAUUGAGCUGAGAAAUUUCCAAAAGAUCCUCCUCUAGGAAUUUUUCCUUCUAGCUGGUUGAAAGAAAGAUUUAGAUCUUCAAGAUAUGAGAGUUUCUCUAAAGAUGCAGGAAUAACCCCAGAGAGAUUAUUAUUGGACAAAUUCAAGAAUUUCAAACUUAUCAAAUCACCAAAAGAAUUAGGAAUCGAGCCUUGCAAUCUAUUAUAUCCUAAAAAGAGAUAUUCUAGAUUUUUUAGGCCUCCAAUUUCUGUUGGGAUAACGCCUGAAAAAUUAUUCCUCGAUAAAUCAAUUCCAACCAAAACCUUCAAACUUCCAAUCUCUAAUGGGAGUGAGCCAGUCAAAAAAUUUGAUGAAAAGUUGAGGUUCAAGAUAUCCUUAAGGUUCCAAAAAGUUAAGGGAAUAGAAGUUAACUCAUUGGAACCCAACGACACUAUCCUCAGAGAAGUCAGAUUACUGAAGCAUGCAGGGAUUGAUCCAGAAAGCUUAUUCCCAUCUAAAUCCAAUCUAUACAGUUCAGCCAAAUUACAAAUAUCAUAUGGGAUUGAUCCUUCUAAUUUGUUAUCUUUAAGACCCAAAUCUUGAAGCUUUUGUAAUUUGCUGAGAGUAAUCAGAAUUGAUCCAUUCAAUUUAUUGCCCCCUAAAUAAAUGGUUCUCAAGUUGGUCAAGUUGCUUAUCUCUUCAGGGAUGCCACCACUAAUGUUACAAUUGGACAUUUUAAAUUCUUCCAAAGAAUGAGAAAGAUUACCGACAGUCGUCCUUGGAAGAAUUCUAUAUAAUGGAUUAUAUGAUAAGUCAAAAUAUUUUAAAAACUUGCAAUUUGACAACGAGGAUAGAAAGCUCAAUUCUUGAGUUGAAGAUGUCAAAUAAUUAUCAGAUAAAACCAGCCAACUAAGGUUUCUUAAGUUGCCAAAUGUGUUGGGAAUAAAACCGGAGAAUGAGUUACCUUCCAAAUCUAGUAUAGAGAGCUUAGAAGCAUUAAAGAUGAAACGAGGAAUUGUGCCACUGAAAUUAUUACCCCAUAAAGAAAGGAUUUCAAGAUUUGGAAGUCGGGCGUAUCCAAUGGACGAAAGACAUCCCGAGAGAGAAUUGUCCUGAAGGCCAAGAAUUUUGAGUGUUGACACAUUGAAGAUUGCGAUUGGGGCAAUACCAACUAAUUUAUUAUCACCAAUGUCCAACUUCUCCAGAUUUCGGAGAUUGCCGAUUUUAAGUGGUAUCUUCCCUGUAUUUUAAUAGAAUUAUAUUUAGAUUAUUUUUCAAAUAAUAAAUAAUUCAAAAAACAGACGCAAUUUCGUAAUAAAAGGUCAUUUAUACACUACACAAUUAUUACAAGUACUAACACACAAGAAAAGCCACUCAUGAAGUAUUGAAAGGCUACACACCAUCAAUGCUUUGUUAGUUAUAUACAAAUUGCUGCACAUAUUCUUUUAUUUUUAUUUUUAUAUUUUUUUUUUGGGUAAACUAUAGGUAAAAUAUAUAUGUGAUUUAAGUGUAGAUAGAUUGCACGGUAAAUUAAAAGGGAGGGUUAAGUAUUAAUAGUGCACAUUUAGAGCAGUUACGAGAGAAAUGUAAUAAAAUAUAUUUGAUUAAUAUUUGUAAAAAUUAGUAGGUAAAACAUGUAUUCGAUUUAAGUAAGAGAUAGAUAGAUUAUGUGGUUAAAACGAAUUAAAAGAUCAAAUUGUGUGGUGAGAAGUAAAAAAGCCUAAGUCGGUGGCUGCGACUCUUAAAGUAAAUCAAGCCCCAGUGAUAGCCCAAAAAAAAAGAGUAGUAUUUCAAUUACAGCAAGAUAAAAUAAAUUAAUUCAGUAAAAUAAUUUCUUUUCAAAUUUAUCCUACUAACAUGGUCUUAGACUCUCAGGCAACUUCGACUCUAAUCAACUCAUUUGUGAAUAAAUUGUGGUGACGCUGAAAAGAAGCUCAAUUCAAAUAGAACUUUCAAUAGGCCCGUGGGACAAGGAAGCGAAGCGAAGCUCGACCGAUUCGAAGUUAUCAACAAUUAGUUCAAGUUUUCCAAAAUUGAAAUGCUAAAGACUAAAUUUAUUUAUGAGUAAAUCAACAAUUUCUAAUUUUCCUACUAACCAAGAAAAUUUAUACAUUGAAAAAUGAUCAUACAAAUAUGUUUUUGACUAUUUUACAUUUAUAACUAAGAAAAAUUGAAUCCAAAGGUUUAAAAUAAUUGCAAAUAAUUUUUUUUCAAAAUAUAAUAAAAGCAAGUAUUUUAAAUAUAAUAAUAUAAAUUAGAUUAUUUGUCUCAAAGCAUUUUAUUGAUAAUGGUAAAUUAGUAUAAAUAUACACUUUUAUGUCAUGAAAUGAGUAUACGUAACUCAAAUGUUUUAAAUACAAGUUUCAGUUUAAUUAUUAUACGUAGAUAAAAUGUUAACAAAGUAUUAAAUUUAUAUUUUUACUAAGUAAUUAUAAAUAUUAUUAGUACCAAUAGUCAGAUAAAAUAAGGACACAGCAAGCCCAAGUCAUGAGUACUGUACUUCUCCUCUCUUUUUAACUAUUAUUUCAGUAAAAUAAUUUUUUUUCAAGUCUAUUUUCAUAUUUAUCCGCUGAAAUUCUAAGGAGGACCAGUUCUCAACAUUUGUUUCAAAAUUUUCAAUUGAAAAGCUUAAACACUAAGUUAACUUUUUAGCAAAUAAACAAUUUCUAAUUUUAAUAGCUACUAACCUUCAAGAUAUUAUAAAUUCCAAGAUUGAACAUCAACCGUUAAGAUAAAAUAUUAUGCGAUUGAUGACUAAAAAUUUUUUUAGAUGAAAAAUUAUGCCAUAAUUGCAGUGAAGAUGUAACUCUUUAAUAUUAAAAAAAUUGUUGAUUUCUUUUGGUAUGGUGCUUGUUAGGAAAUUAUGUAUCACUGAUGGUAUCUCCAAUUAUUUAAAGAUAAUUAGUGAAAUAUUUUAUGAAGUUGUCACACAUGUAUAUCAUUAGUGAACCAUACUUGUGCAGAUAAUUUUUGAGAAAUCCAAAUUCAGUAAAGAAGAAAGAUUGACGAUUUAUUCUACGUGUUUUUAAUUUUUUUUUAAAUGCUAUGGAAUUUUGAGUUAACACAAACUAAUUUCUAAUAAAAAACGGAAUAAUGUUAGAUAGUGAUAACUACACAUCCUCAUAUGAGAAUUUAUAUUUUAUAAUGAGAGACUUGAAAUCUUUUAAUUAAGAAGCGGAAGAUGUCUCAUAUAUAUAUCGUAAAGAAAGUUACCGGUCAAGUUAUUCUCGAACAGCUCUAAGAUCUCCAAUUUUGCAAGAUUCCCCAAUUCGUGUGGAAUACCUCCUGCAAAUUAAGUACAUAUAUAUAUGCGCAAACAAUUUGAUCACUCAUAUUUGGGGGGAAAAAAAAAAGAAUUUAUUGGCUGACGAAUAUCAUAAUAACAAUUUACUCUUCAAUUAUAUAAGAAUUAGGCUGACAAGAAUAAGAAUGAAACAUCAUUCAUUUUCAUCGACUUAAUUGGGAGCUUCAAAACGGAAGUGGCAAUAUGACAAAAGAAAAUUACAAAACAAUUUUUUUUUUAUCUGCAUAAAUUAAGAAAUGAAAUGAGUGAGGAGAGACAUGGAGCUUUAUCUCCAUCUGAAAGAAAAACAAUAAAUCAUAGCAUAAUUAAUGAACAAACGAAUGAAUACAGAAGCAAGCAGAGGCUAGAAAAAAAUUGCAAAAAGUUUCUAAUCAUACCUUGGAGAUUGUUUGCUGCUAACGACAUCAGCUCCAAUUCGGGAAGAUUGCCAAAUUCUCGAGGAAUUUCUCCUGCAAAUUAAUCAACGCGUGCAAAUUAUCUUAUGGAACAUUAUUCAUAAUACAACUUAUGGAACAAUUUUCAUAAUUAAACUCCGUGAUUACUCGCACCUUGGAGUCUGUUACGGCCAAGAUAUAAUUCCUUAAGGUUGGUCAAAUUGCCGAUGUCUUUAGGUAUGGCCUCCGAGAAAUCAUUGUAUGAAAAAUCUAACGUUCGCAGAUAUGUGCAAUUUGAUAGCGUGGACGGUAUGCCGCCAUGCAACAUGUUUUUGAAGAAAGCAAGGUACUCCAGAAAAGGAAGAUUACUGCAAAUAUUUGCACGAAUUUCACCAGACAGUGCAUUGCUACUAAGAUCAAGAUGUUGUAAAGAAGACUUGUUGGAGAUGAAAGAAGGGAAAGUGCCGGAGAGCUGAUUUCCACGGAGACAAACAUAUUUCAGUGUAUAUGUGGUGAAGAUGGCGGAGGGAAUGGAACCAAAAAGUCGGUUAAAACUGAGAUUGAGUGAUUGCAGAGAAGAAAGAUUCCCAAGUUGAGAAGGGAUGGUGCCUGUGAGAUUUAAGCUUGAAAUAUUCAAGACUGUGACUCUCUGGCUAUGGACUUCACAAGCGACGCCUGUCCAAUUACAGACAGGAGUACUUGUGUUCCAAUUCUUGGCCAAGAAAUUGGUCGGAUCAUGAGUUAUGUGAGCUUUCAGGGCCAACAGAGCAUCUUGGUCCGUGAUAGUAGAACUUGUGUUGGCUGUUGCUGCCGCGAUAAAUAAGGAAAUAAGAAUCAAACAAUGGAGUAAGAGAAAUCUGCUCAUCAUCAUGAGAGAAUGAGCUCUUUCCAUGAGAUGAGAGUAUUUAUAUUGUAAGCGUGUGCUUAGUUGGAUUGGUAAUGCAAGAACACUUAUAAGUUUGCUAUAUACCACCGAGUAUUUAUAGUGAAACCAAAAUUUCUAAGAAUGUAGAGGAGAAAAAGACCGGCAUGCGUUAAGGCUGACCUCAGUCAACCAAAACUUAUCCUUUGUGAUCCUAGCGAUUUUAGAAUUACUUUAAUAACUGGAAAAUGGAAUGUAAUUUUUUCUUUUUUUCUAAAUAAGCCCAUGACUUUUGUUUUUCUUUACAAUCAUUUUUGCAUCGGAUAGGGAUAUAUUAAUUUCCUAUGAUCAAACCUUCUAUUCUCACAACUUUUAUACAAAUUUCUAGUAACGAAUUCCAUAAUUUUGUUAGAAAUUUUAUUUUCGUGAAUUUGGAGCAAAUAUUGUCAAUGGAUAUAAUAUUAAAUUUUAGCAUUUGCAGACCGAGGAGAGAUUAUUACUUUGAUUAAAAAGAUUAAUUUAUAAUGUUAAAUUCUUAAAUUAUGUACCAAGAGGAGUGAAAUUUUUUAAAUUUGAUUGUGAAAUAUUUAUCAGAAAAUACUUUUAUUCAUCCAAAAAGAAGUUUUUAAAAUUUUCUUCUCUAUAUUAACAUGACAUAUAAUAAAUGUUGUAUUCCUUGAAACUCAAAUUUUUGGAUAAAUUGAAAUUACAUUUCUGUAUUUUUUUCUUUUAAAUUUGAAAAAUUCACCCGUCUUGAAAAUUCAUAAAAGUGCCACAAGUUGACAGCAAAUUGCCUAUGUCAAUGAAAGAGCACGCAAUGAGACCGAUUGUUUUUUUAAUAUAAGUACUCAUGUUAUGGUAUGAAUUUAACAAUGCUCAGUGGGACAGCAGAUAUUGAACUAUUUUUGCUUUUUUGUUUGAUAAUUCGAGGCUUCACCAGUGCCAUUAAGUAGUAUAACAAGAAAAGUAGGAAUAGUAAUGCGAAAUUUAAAGAAUAACUUUAUUUUUUUAAAAUUAGAUUGUGAUAGUGUUAUCGUAAAGUAAUACUAUUAAUUCAAAAAAUUAUUCUAUAAUUUUCUUCCUGUAAUACUUAAGUAACAUUUCUAUCAAAAAAAUUAUCAUUUAUCCAGAAAGUCGAUUAAAAAAAUUAGCCAAUUCUAUCAUAAAAUUUUUUUGGAUAAAUUGUUGGGAUUAGUCGUGUUUGAUAAUUGCAAUUACAUUUUUUUAAAAAUUGAGAUAAUAUACAAAAAAACAAACCUACAGAAGUAAAAUUGAGAUAAUAUCCAAAAAAUUAUACAACGUUGAUUUUAUGUCACAACCAACUUAAUCAGUAGUCUAAUUAUUAUGGCCACCAUCGAAAUAAAAAUUUCGGUGAAACAAUUCCACAUCAUCACCAUACUGACAUGGUGUGAUUUUUAAAUUUAAAUAUGACAAGCAUGAGACACGAAUGGUGGGAAUGCCCACUUGCAAUUUAAUUGGACGGUCCUAUCCUUCUGUCGCACCUAUCAAAAUUAAAUUGAAUUAGCCUUUUUUCCAAUUUCCCUACAAAAAUUUUCUUUUAAGAAGAAGAAUUAGUGGCCCAUUAAUUAAUUAAUAUACUCUGUAACAUCAAGGAUUGAUGGUGUUUGGGAGUUGGGAAAAUGGAAGAGAAAGUAACAGAAACGUAAAAUACGAGUUGCAGGUUCUAUAAAAGAGGGAUAAGAUGAAUCAAGUGAAGUGAAAGCACAAAAAAAUAUAUUUAGAUAAGUGACUCUUCAUGCUCUGUUCAGAAAGAGUUUAAAGAAUAACAGUAGAAAUAGUGAAAUUUUAAAGAAUAUUUUUAAUUGUGAUUGUGAUUGUUUUAUCGUAAAAUAAUUCCAUUAAUUUAAAAAAAAAUUCUAUAAUUUUCUUCUUGUACUAAGUCAGAACAUGACAUAUAUCAAAUAUUUAAAAAAUUAAUUCCUUAAACUCAAAGAUUUUUUUUGAUAUAUUGUUGGAAUUAGUGGUGUUCGAUCGGGCAUUCAUCUAAUGCUUACUUUUAGGCAGCUUAUUUCCUGCUUCUGCAAAGGGCAUUCAUCUGCUCUCUUCGGUUCAGCUGUCCACGACUCGAAGACCUCUUUCCUUACAAUUCCAAUCGAUACCAUUAUUCCAACAAUACUGAAAAAGAAGCUUUCGUCAACUUUCUCACAUGGAUGCGCACCUUCAUGCAUAAUUGCAUAUUGCAUUAUUUCUCUAGAAAAGCAAGAUUUGUUUCAUUUAGUAGAUAUGACUGUCUCUUGGAAUACAGUCAAGCAAAACAAAUCAGAUUAUGUCCCAUAUGAAAAUUCUUAUCACUUAGGUUAGGCAAAUAUGGAAAUCGUCCAUCUUCGAUCCAAUUACCUCACUGCAAUAAUAAUUUUUUAAGAAGACGAAAUCAGUGUCCCAUUAAUCGGUAUGAGUACAACAUUUUUGUCAAUCGUCGAAAUGAGGACUAUUUUCAUUUUACUGUUCUAGUCAUGAUGACAAAAAACUAAAUUUUUAAUAUGUUCACUGAAGAAAAAAAGAAACAAGAAAAAAUGUCUAUAAAAGCGUCAUCUUCAUGCAAUUCUACAAAAGUUCGUAACUAACCAAACUGCCACAAACUUGCAGAGGAUUCAGAUUGAAUAUGCCCCAUGAAAAUACGGUCAAGAGUAAAGGCCAGCGAAAAAGAAAGAAAGCUCGAAUGCAAAUAAAAUAAAAAUGUUUACGUUACUUUUAAAAAGUAAUUACCAAAGUGAAAUCAAUAGUUAUUUCAUAAAUAUACAGAAUUUCUCCCCCACUCGCACGAAAAGUAUUUAAUUUCGUAAUUUCUUUCACUUUAUAAUUCUGUACAAAGAAGUCAAUCACUGUAUGAAGAAGUCAAGCACUAUAGUUCGGUAAAAUUCCAUUUGCAUAUUUUAAAAAAUAAAAUGACCAUCAACAUAAUUGUUAGUAUUAUUUUAAAUAAUAAAAUAACGUUUUUCGUCCUGUGCAUCAUCAAACUCAUGACUUGACAACCAAUUCAUUAUCACCAAAUAAAAUGAUCAAUUAAUUUUAACCGCAGAGUACGUUGUUUCAUGAAAGCAGUGUUUGGGAGUUGGAAAAAAAAACCAAAAACAAGGAUUAGUAGUGUUUGGGAGUUGGAAAAAUGGAAGAGAAGGUAAAAGGGGAAAAAAAAAAACAAAAACAGAGAAAAUCUUUAUUAGAAAGUAAUAGAAACAUAAAACAUAAUUACUCAUGAGUAAUGUUAUUUGCACGUACACAAAAAUACACGAAAACACUAAAAGACUAGAAAUAUUUUAUUAAAAGAUAAAUUUAUCCACUUUAUUAAUCUUAUUUUUUUUGCAUAAGUAUUCUCAUUCUAUUUAUUUUGUGCAAUUUUUUGUGCAAAUAGGAUUUUCCGGUUCUAAUUAGUUUACAAUCUUUGGUGCUAUCUCAACAAUAUGUGUAUAGCACACUUGCCAGCAGUGCAUACAGUUACACAGCAACAGCCUUUGCAAGUUACAUCCGGAACAACCUACCUGUUAUAGCACACUUGCCAGCAUUGCAUACAGUUACGCAGCAACAGCCUUGCAAGUUGCAUUUUUAACAACCUGAAGUCUUGAAUCCCAAAAUAUUCUGUAAACUGAGUUCAGCCAAUGAACUGUGCUCCUUCCUUAGGCCAUAAUAUGAUUAUGAUCCAUGUGCUUAACCCUUCAGACCAAACUGUAAUUAACGAAAAUUACACUAAAAAAAACUGCAAAUCCCUAAUAAUUUUUUUUUUUUACAGAACCGAACAACAAUGUACAGUAAAUUUUAUUUUUUAUAUGAUUGAGAAUGAAAUUAUUGAAUUGUUGUGCUUUUAAUUGAUUUUUCUUUUAUUUAAUGUAUCAACAACCCAAUCUCUUCUCACUUGGAUGACGAGUAUUUAGUUUCUUAAUUAUUUUGCUUUGUAAUUCUGUGUAAAGAAGUCAAGCACCUUGGAUAUUUAAAAAUAAAAAAUAAAAUGACCAUCGAAAUAAUUGUUAGUCUUCUUUAAAUAAUAAAAUAAUGUUUUUGGUCCCCUUCAUCAUGAAACUCAUGAACUGACAUCCAAUUCAUCAUCACCAAACAAAAUGACCCAAGAAAGUUUUGUGCACAUCAAAUGGAGAAGUCCGUUUGUAUCAACUGUGCAGGUCAAGGUCGUGAAUUGACCGAGUCAANNNNNNNNNNNNNNNNNNNNNNNNNNNNNNNNNNNNNNNNNNNNNNNNNNNNNNNNNNNNNNNNNNNNNNNNNNNNNNNNNNNNNNNNNNNNNNNNNNNNNNNNNNNNNNNNNNNNNNNNNNNNNNNNNNNNNNNNNNNNNNNNNNNNNNNNNNNNNNNNNNNNNNNNNNNNNNNNNNNNNNNNNNNNNNNNNNNNNNNNNNNNNNNNNNNNNNNNGAAAAGUAUUUAAUUUCGUAAUUUCUUUCACUUUAUAAUUCUGUACAAAGAAGUCAAGCACUGUAUGAAGAAGUCAAGCACUAUAGUUCGGUAAGAUUCCAUUUGCAUAUUUUAAAUAAUAAAAUGACCAUCAACAUAAUUGGUAGUCAUAUUUUAAAUAAUAAAAUAACGUUUUUCGUCCUGUGCAUCAUCAAACUCAUGACUUGACAACCAAUUCAUUAUCACCAAAUAAAAUGAUCAAUUAAUUUUAACCGCAGAGUACGUUGUUUCAUGAAAGCAGUUAGACCAACAUUAGCCCCGUUCAAAGGGGGGAAAAAAACAAAAACAGAUAAAAUCUUUAUUAGAAAAUAAUAGAAACGUAAAACAUAAUUACUCAUGAGUAAUGUUAUUUGCACGUACACAAAAAUACACGAAAACACUAAAAGACUAGAAAUAUUUUAUUAAAAGAUAAAUUUAUUCACUUUAUUAAUAAACAGCUGAAUUAUGAAAAUGACAAAGAGAAUGGUAAAGAUGAGAGGUGCAUUCCCAUUAAUUAAUUAUCCAUGCUUUAUAGGUUAUAACAUUUUUUGUCGAUCCUUGACCCAAUUUAGAAGUCACAGUUGCGAAGUCAAUGAAAGAGAAGACAAUCGAACAGUCACUAAGUAAUAACGGGGUUACACUAAACCGAUUAUUAUGAUUAUUAUCAUUUUUUAUGUAAAAUAAUUUUUAACGUGUCUCAUGGAUAGUACUUUCUUUGCAUUCUUUCUUGAAGAAAGGAACGCCCUUUAAUUAGCCCCGUUCACAAGUCAAAAGUCAAUAAACGAAGAGAUCCCGCGACAGAGUACGUUGUUUCUUGAUAGUAUUUAGACAAACUGUAGGUCUAUGUUCGUAGAAACGGACAGUUAAUACUCUAGAAAAUCAAGGAUUAGUGGUGUUUGGGAGUCGGGAAAAUGGAAGAAAAAGUGAAUGGAAAAAAGAAAAAAAAAGAAAAUCUUUAUGAAGAGAAACAAAAACGUGAAUUAUUGUUGGAAGCACAAAUGAGUUAUUUAUAGAAGCAGCAAUGCUACCAGUAUUUAGUUUCGAACAUAAAAUUAUAUGUAUUAAAGUUUUUUAAUCUUUUAAAUCCUACAAAAUAAAUGGAAGACCAGAUUUAUGGAUAAAGCGCAGCUCCACUCAAGCAGCAACUGAUGCCGCCCCACGGAUAAUUAGCCCCACUCACUCACAAUUAAUCAUUAGUCAAAUUUAUGAAAAUUAAACAAAAUGAGAACCAAGAUAAGUCGUCAACCAUUUUUAUGGAUAAGUUACACUAAAUAGAUUCCCACUAAAAAUGACGAAUAUAAACAUUUUUUUUUCUAUUGGAUAUUUCAUCCACUCAUAAUAUAAUGACAUAUAUCAAUUUAUCUUAAUAUUAAAAUAAUUAACCAUUCUAUCUACAUUACUUGAAGCUCAAAUUUUUAUAAAUUAUACAAAUUAAACGAUUGAUCGAGUCAUAUCACAGUCAUCACUUAAAUGAAUUUUAAUAAAUUUUAACGGAUUGGCUGCCGAGCUGAAUAAGAAUAUUCUUUGCGUGUUAAACAAACUAGGGAAUGAUUUAAACAGUGCUCAAUGGGACAUAUUGUUUUCCAUAUUAAGCAUUCAUUGAAAAUGGGAAAAGAAAAAUACUGACUGAAUGAAUUUAACAGUGGCUCAUUAAUAUGAUAAUUGUGUUGUUUUAUAUAUUAUUUAUUUUUUUAAGUGACACCAAACCGAUUCAAUUGUUUGAAUUUUUAAUCGGUAAUUUUGCUUUACAAUCCAUUGGUUUCAUUUGGAUCCAAUGUCCCAUGCAUGGCCAUAACGCUCAUACAGUUUGCAAUAAAAGCCAUCCUCUUCUCUAUUUGGCAGGGGUUUGUUUGGAAAUACGAAGAUUUGGGGACACGUGGGAUGGGGAACAUCUUUUAAGUUUGUUAGAGGAACCUAAGGUGCGAAGAGAAAUAGACCAAUGAGAAAAAUUCCCAUUAAAUGAGUUCAUUCUUUUUUAUACCGAUUGUUGCUGCAGUGUUUGAAGAAACAAAUAAUUUUGACGAAUUGAGAACAAUAUGAUGUGUCAGAAAGCAUUAUACCGGUUGUUGCUGCAGUGUUUGAAGAAAAAAUUAAUUUAGACGAAUUGAGAACAAUAUGAUGUGUCAGGAAGCAGAAAGUCUCAAAGAUAUAUAAAAGAAUUGUAAAACAAGCGACGGAACAGCUAAGAUUUUUUAAAUACGUUAAUUAUGUCAUAUGGAAUAUUGACGGGUUAGAUUUCGUUAAACUAAUUUUAUUACAUAUAAUUCAACUAAAUAAGAAUAAUCUCACUAUAGUUGUCUUAUUAUAGAUGUAAUAAAAAUUUAUUGAUGUUCUAAAGUAACUCAUUUUCAUCAUAAUUUUUGCAUAAUGUAUCAAAAAAAGAAUUUUAGCGCGAAAGGCCAAAAAAGGUUGAGAGAACAAAAAAAAUUAAGCAAAGAUUUAUGAAAAAAAGAGAAGCCAUUCAAUUCAAGAACUUGUCACGUUAAGCCCAUCGGCCCAAUAUCUUAUUUGCUCACAAGCCAAUAAACGAAGAGACCACAUGACAGAGAGUUUUGUUUCUUGAAAGUAAUUAGACAAACAAACAGCAGUUCUAUGUUUGUAGAAAUUGACAGCUAAUACUUAAAAAAUCAAGGAUUGGCGGUGUUUGGGGAUUGGCAAAAUGGAAGAGAAAGUGAAAGAAAAAAGAACAAAGAAAAUCUUUUUUAGAAGUUUGUAAUAGACCUCGAAUUUAUACGUUUGAUUUAACUCACUUUGACUUGUUUGUAAGUUCUAAUUGUGAUAUAAGAAUUUUUAAUUACGUAUCGUAAAGAACUAAGAAUGAUCGUAUAAUAAUUCGAACCCACCAAGAACUGUUGCACAACGUUAUAAGCCCUACUACUAAAACCAAAGAAUACCAGCUCGUAAUUACAACGAUCAAGAAUCAUAUUUUGUUAAGCCAACAUUAUUACAUAUAUAAUUCAACUAAAUAAGAGUGAUCUAAGUGUAAUUGUCGUGAUCUUGGAUGUAAAUUUAGAUUAACAAAUAUAAUUUUUUUUAAAAAUUAUACUUAUAUUUUGUAAAACUUCUAAUUAUACUAACCAAUAUAAUAUUUUUUAAAUAGAAAAAUUUAGGCAAAUAUCUAUCGACAAGAGGAGGAGGCAAUUAAAUGAUGAUCUUACCCCGUUGGGCAUACUAUAUGAUGAACCCCAUUUCAUCAUUUGCCCCUUUCAGCUUCCAACGUCACUAAUUUUGAUUCAAAGCAUGAGCAAGUAGUGGCCUGGCCCAUGAUCAUAUGGGCUUUGAGCUGCUUUAUUUUUAUAAUUUAUUGGACCCUUAUCCGAUCUCGAUAUUGAAUUUUCUAUAGCCUCAUCAAGCUCAAUAAUAAUAAUCUUACCAUAUAUAUGUUCAGCUGAAAAUUAAAGUACCAUCUAUUUCAGCUGCAGGCUUAAAAGCUUCUUUUGUUUGUCGUAUUUGAUUGAAAUUGAAUCAUAGAAUCUAAGGCGUAAAGAAAAAUCAACCAACGAGAAUCUGCCAUGGAAGCAUCUAGAAAAAUAUUAAAGCCCACAGCGAAAGCGUCUUACUCUGUUUUCUUUCUUUUAUUUUUUCCAGGAUCCCAUAAACAGAAUGCAAUUUUGCUUGCACAUAAAUGUCAUACGGCUCUUUUACGAAUUUCGGUUUAAUUGCAUUCAUUUUAUUUUUUAUUUUUUAUUUUUUAUUUUUUUGCUGGUUGUUUCUCCAUUAGACCAAUUGAGAAUCAAAUGUUAUAAAAAAAAAUAGAAGAACUUUAUGUAAAUUAGAAAAUAAUUGGCAUGCAAUUUUGGAUUUUGGGUGGGCUAUUUGAAUCCAUUAAUUUUAUUUCAACACCCACUUUUUUAAUUAAGAUAGUUAUCAAAUUAUAACUUACUAUUUUAAUUCACUCAUUUCUAAAAGGUCAUAAAAUUACUUCUCUACUAUAACAAUAGUUAAAGCCUAAACUAAUUUCUCUCUCUUUCUAUUCUUCUUUUUUUAUUCUUACAUGCUAAAUCAACUUUAUUUUUUUCUUACUUUUUAUUAUAAGAUUAUUAGUUUUUACCUAUUAUUAUUGUUCAAAGUUUGUGCUUCUGAGAUUUGACCAAAAAAAUUUAAAAUAGAUUCAAAGUGGUACAAAAAUUUUUAUUUUUUUAUUUUUACAUGAUGGGUAUUAUUUUAUUUACUUUGUUUUAGAUUAUAAUAAAGCUGAAUUUGUUAAUUUUUGAACAAUUUCAUUUUAUUCAAUGCAAUAUAUACUUCCAUGUAUUACAAUAAAUUUUUCAUAAAGAAGGAGAUGAAGGUAGAGAGAGCAACAUCAAAUAAGUAAUUAAUCAAAAGAGUAUAUUUUAAUCAUUAUGGCUUCCAUUGAAGUAAAAUUAUGAUUCUACCAUUGAGUAAGAACACUUAAGACAUUUUCUAAUAAAGGAGGUCAUGAGGCUAAAAACCUAGGCGAGACAAUCCCACAACAUCACCAUACUGACUUGGUGAGAUUUUCAAAUUUGAAUUUGGCAAACAAGAGACGACAAUGGUGGGAUUGGCACUUGGAACUUAAUUUUAAUUGGACAGUCCCAUCCCUCUCUCUGACUUGCCAAUGUUAAAUAGAUAGCAACUCAAUUGAAGUUUAAAAUGAAAGGAGAUUGAACAUAUUAUCAAAGAGAUACAACUUGAUCGAUCAAAGUUGUAUAAAAUGAAAGGAGUGUAUUUGUAUAGCAUUUAUACACUGUGCAACUCGACAAACAUGUUAUCAAAUAAUAACAUUAACAAAGCAAAAUGUAUGGAAGGUACAAAAUAUAUACUUUUUGUACUGCUGAAAACUAUUUUUGGGCACUCUGCUGAAAACCAGUAGCAGAGACAUCAAGCGAAGAUCUUUGAAACAGCCCAAAUCAUAAAAUGUAUUGUUGGUUUUCUUCUCAAAAUAAAUAUUUCACAAAAAACUUGCAAAAAGUAAGUAGUAAUUUCCCCAAAUGGAGGUGGAGGAGAAAAUGGCAGGGAUCUGGGGCAAGGCUUUGUGGUAACUGGACCAAUUAUUCAAAUAAUAGUUGGGGAAAUGAUCAUACAGUAAUUGCAAUCAUUAUAGGCUUUGUGGUAACCGGACCACACAGAUUUUAGUUGUUAUCAAAACUGCAAUUGGCCCCAAAAAAAAAUCAGAACAAAUUACCGAUAGAAACGUACAAUACAUGUAGGUUUUAAGCACAAAUGAAUAAAUCAGAACACUCUACACUAAUUACGAAUACUAGUUCACAAUAUUUGGUGCUACCUCCGCAAUCUGUUAUAGCGCACUGCCCCACUUGCCAGCAUGGCAUACCGUUACACAGCAGCAGUCUUGCGUCUGUAACGACCUUCUAACAGUCUUGAAUCCAAAUACUUUGCUACACAUGAGUGCAGCCAAUGAACUGUGCUCCUUCGUUAGCCAGAAUAUGAUCCUUGUGAUGAACUUGAUACUCCAAUAUAUGCAACUUUUAUAAAGGAGAGGGACAAGAUGAAAUCAAGUGAAGUGAAGUGAAGUGAAUAUGAUCCUUCAUGCAGAAACCCUUCAUGCUCUGUUCAGAACAGAGUUUAAAAUAAUUAAUAAUUGUUGGGAAUUUUCGGUUCCCGCCCCAGAUUUUUGCUAGCAAUAUGUAAAACAAAUAAUAAAUAAAAAACUAAAAUGGUGAAUAUCCCAAUCAUAACACACAAAAUUUACUUGGAAGACUAUUUUAUUAGAGUAAAAAACCACCACUGCAAAAAACAACGAGACAAAAAAAUUUCACCGUAUAAAAAAUUAUUACAACCACUCUCUGAUUAUUUUAUCUCACACCCAAACCCCAAUUACGCCCAAAUCUUCCCACACUCUCUUUUCACUGCCUCUCCCGUUAUUCACUUUCCUCUCUCUCUCUACAAUUCAGUGAGUUCUCAAUUUAUAGACAUUGGGGCUUUCUCAUUGUCAAAGAAAACGGUCCUGGAUGAACAAAUCUUGCAGCCACCAAAUCAGGUUGAUAUCUUCGACCAGCUUGCUGACAUCUUACCAGGCCUUUGACGUAGCAUUUAUUGUGCAUCCAUGAAAGUCCAGAAAAUCUUUGCCUGCAUUAACACUGAUCCAUUCAUUCAAAUGCAAGAGAAGUCAAAGAGAUUAUGCCAGCAUUUAAUGCCCAUGCAAGUUUCAAAUGAAACUAACUAAAUUUUCAGCAAAACGCAUGUAAAUUGUUAGUUCCUUUUUCAACUUUUUUACUGCAAAUAAAUAUUAAACUAUUUCAAGUCACUUCAUCCAUUAGUAACAGGAAAGAACUUGUAUUACUGAAUUUAGAGACACAUCACAACUAUGCAUUAUCAAAAUGAUGUUUUGAAAGCCUAAUUUAAGAAAUAGUACAUUAUCAUUUUGAACAUUAUAAAUGGAUAUAUAAUAAAUUAAGUGUAAGAUCAACGUACUUUUAGUAAACGACACUGUGUGGAUCAGUAAUCCUCCUUUUCUUUCUAAUUUUCUUUGCCAGUAUGAAUCAUUUUACUUUGCUUCACUAGAAAGUACUGUAAAUGGCUUCCUUUGGCCGAUAAGUAUUUAGGUUAUUUGACUUGUAAUUAAGGUCCAUUUGUCAAUCUACCUUCCCACACUCUCUUUUCACUGGCUCUCCCGUUAUUCACUUUCCUCUCUCUCUCUACAAUUCAGUGAGUUCUCAAUUUAUAGACAUUGGGGCUUUCUCAUUGUCAAAGAAAACGGUCCUGGAUGAACAAAUCUUGCAGCCACCAAAUCAGGUUGAUAUCUUCGACCAGCUUGCUGACAUCUUACCAGGCCUUUGACGUAGCAUUUAUUGUGCAUCCAUGAAAGUCCAGAAAAUCUUUGCCUGCAUUAACACUGAUCCAUUCAUUCAAAUGCAAGAGAAGUCAAAGAGAUUAUGCCAGCAUUUAAUGCCCAUGCAAGUUUCAAAUGAAACUAACUAAAUUUUCAGCAAAACGCAUGUAAAUUGUUAGUUCCUUUUUCAACUUUUUUACUGCAAAUAAAUAUUAAACUAUUUCAAGUCACUUCAUCCAUUAGUAACAGGAAAGAACUUGUAUUACUGAAUUUAGAGACACAUCACAACUAUGCAUUAUCAAAAUGAUGUUUUGAAAGCCUAAUUUAAGAAAUAGUACAUUAUCAUUUUGAACAUUAUAAAUGGAUAUAUAAUAAAUUAAGUGUAAGAUCAACGUACCUUUAGUAAACGACACUGUGUGGAUCAGUAAUCCUCCUUUUCUUUUCCAAUUUUCUUUGCCAGUAUGAAUCAUUUUACUUUGCUUCACUAGAAAUUACUAUAAAUGGCUUCCUUUGGCCGAUAAGUAUUUAGGUUAUUUGACUUGUAAUUAAGGUCCAUUUGUCAAUCUACCAACUACGAUAAUCAUAAAAUGCAGCAUACGCAUAAGUGGAUGGACAUAAAAAACCCAUAUGCAUUAAAACUUUAGAAUCCUUCUAAAUCCUACAAUGUAUUCAUAAUUUUCAAGACAUUUAAGUGACAGAAAAAUAAUUACAUCACACGGACUUAGUUAUAGUAAAUGGAAGACCACAGUUUUUUAACAAACUCUUCACUCAUAAUUGAAUUGUGGGUCGUCGAAUUUAUGAAAAUUAAACAAAAAUGAUAAACAAGACAAGUACCCCUCGAGCACCCUUCCCUUGAACCUGAACUGGUCGAGAGAGGUGAUCAUCAUCAUACUCAGCUGGACACCACCUUGGCCAUCAGAUUCAUCGUAAGAAUGAAUGUGGACCCUACGGUUCAUUCAACGCUCGAAUUCUUUAUCCUCCUUCUCCUUAUCAUCGCUUGCUUCCAUUCUGCGCAUCACGAGAGAGUGUUUCACUUCAUCUGGAUCGCUCUCGUACUCCUCCACCACGUCCUCGUCAUCGCUGGCUUCCCUUCUGUGCGUCACAAGACAGCGUUUCACUUCAUCUGGAUUGCUAUCAUACUCCUCCACCGCCUCCGCUUUUUCCGGAGCUGCGGGCGCGGGCGCCGUUGUAGUGUCACUAGCCAUCAAUUAAUUAUUAACCGCCCAAUUGUUCUAUCAAUUUUAAUUUAAAUUGUAUAAAAAAUUUCGAAAUUGCGCUUAACCCUUCAAACUGAAUUCCAAAUUAUUAUCAGAACUGAACUAACAAUUGAAGGAUACGAGAUAAGCAAAAUCCACUAAAAUAAUACAAAAUUUUGAAGCGAAUCCCCGACAAUCGAAACCCUAGAGAGGUUAAAUUGAGAUUUUUCAGGAUUGUGAUGGAGGUUUAGCUAUUCUUGAGAAAACCUCAUAUUUUUAGAGAACGAGGGGAUUUUUUUAUAGGGUUAUUUUUAAGGACCUCCUCUGAAGUUUGGUGUAUUAACAUUCUGAUAGAAAGUAUUCACGUAAUUACAAAGACCUCCCCUGACAUUUGUAUUCUGUUAAGUGGACUGUUAGUUGACUAUUGAAAAUCCAAAAAUACCCUUCCUGUCAAAAUAUUUCUUUAUUCGCUGAUGAACUGAUGGGUAAUUCGUGCCAAAAUCACAAAUUACUUAAGAAGAUGAAAAUAUCCAUUGGAUAAAAAAAUGAAAUUGCUUAAUAAAAAAAUUGACAUUGCAAAAUAAUAAAAAAAUUGACAUUGCAAAAUAAUAAAAAAAUUGAAAUAAUGUGUGGCGGCAUAGCUGCAUCCUGCAUGCAUAUUAUUAUUGUGAUUUUUUUUUUAUUACAAACUACUUCAUAACUAAUACAUGCCACAAGAGCAGAGCUAUUAAAAGAAAUGAUUUUCAUAUUGUAAACUUGAUAGUACAGGCGUUGGCACCGACAAUAAAACCCUUCUGAUACCAAUCUUUGCUCCAUCCAUAUUUAAACCCAGAUCAAGUAAAUAUUAAAUUGGAUUUCAGGUCCUGAAAAUCCCACUCUAUAAUUGAUAUCUUCGAGUUUUGUUGGUGCCUCAAACCUGGAUCUAGAGCAUCAUCUCUGUCAUACUCGGAACACCUAAACUAAUGGACUUGCUACAGCUGCUUAUUCUUCUUCUGAAAUGAUGCACGCAGAUAGAUUACAGACUUUGAAAUAAGAAAUACAAUAAACAACAUGUAAUCGAACUUAAGAUUUCGGCACACUUGUUUGAAAAUUAGAAUCAAACAAGGAAAAUGGCAAGUCAAUAUUUUUUAAUCUAGAAAAAGGGCAAUUUCAAAGUUUAUCACAUGCCAAAUUCAUAGUCUUGCAUCCACUAUUUUCUAGUUUGAAUAACAAACAAAAGCCUUAGACAAAAACACAGAGAACAUCUCACGUGGGAGCAAAAAUUGUGUGUAGAACAAUAUACUUAAGUUACCUCUGAUUACAAUCACAUUAUUUAGCAAAUACAAAAUUACCUUCUAAAAAAAAAAAAAAAAACAACACCGCCAAAUUAUUGAAGGAAUUACAACAAUAAGGCAAAAGAACACCAAAGGCAUGCACAAACCGAAACUAGCACACAACUCAAUUAGUGUCAUGACCCCAAACUGAACAAUCACAUAAACCACUGUGGGUUCUCUAAAAGAUUAUCAGAUUAUAAGCAAAUCGAAACCCAUCUUUGAUGAACUACAUCUAGUACUUACACAGCUCUUAAAUCAUUAGGAAAUUGCUCUUAUCAGUCAUUACCCAAUAGUUUUUUUCAACUCAACACUAACAACCCUAGAGAGAAACACUGCUGUACCGUACAUGCUGUGUUUUCGAAGACUGACCUCUUCUUGCGAUCUAAUUCCAGUCACGGUAGAUGCUAGAUGCUGGCAAUACUCGCUUCUUGGAAGCUCUGGACCACCGCACGACGUCAUCUUGUGCAGUAGAUGAAAAUAAAUCAAUGAUUUCAGAAAUUAUUUGUGAGUUGCAGACGCUUCUUCUCCAUGGAUGAAAAUGAUGGUGGGUUUUGUUCAAGUGUAAGCUGUGUUUACGAGGAGAAGUACCCUUUGUGAAAAAAUCAUUUUCUUUCAUCUACUGGAUAAUGACUUUGGACUGGGUAAUGGUGUGUUUAAGUCUCUAUUUCACAGACAUCGAAACAUAUUUUGCUUGAAUUUUGAUUUUGUUUAAAUUUCAAGUUUACUUUUACUUGUUUACCUUUUUAUACUGACGUUUACGUAUUUUUAUACUAAUGUUAAGGGAAAUACUUAUAAUUACAUAAAUACUUUUUAUCAGACUGUUAAUACACUAAACUUCAGGGAAAGUUCCUAAAAAUAACCCUUUUUUUUAUAAUUUCCCCUUCUAAAUAAAGACUAUGAGGAUAUGUCGUCAUCAGUUGAAUUGAGGAGACCAUUUAUUUGAGCCGAGUGACGGUAAUUACCUUGAUUUGGUAGGGGUUUCUUUGGAAAUAUGAUAAAAGUUUGGGUAUUGGUUAGAGAGUGACACGUGGAAUGAGAACAUUGUUUAAGUUCAAAAUUCUGACGUAAGAUAUGAUUCGGUAACCAUGAGGUACAUUUUGCUUGGCCACAGCCAGUCAGCUACAAGCUUAUCGACGCUUAUUAUAUUUGUUGAAUUGUUGUGUUUGCUUCAAAUUGAUUUUUGAAGUUGAAUCUAAGCCGUGAAGAAAAAUGGACCAAUGAGACUAUGCCACGGAAGCAUCUAGAAAAAUAUUAAAGAGGACAGAGUCAGUCUAUCAUAUUGGUCUUUUUAUCAUUUUUUGACAGACCCACAAACCGUGCGCAAUUUGGCUUCCAUUACAUAUCCAGUUUCUAUUAUACAACUACAUUAUAAGCGUGAUUUAUAGAAUAAAAAGUGUAUAAAAUAGAUCCAUAGGAGUAGAUUUUAUUAAACAUUCAUUUAUAUUUAUAUUUACAUUUAAACAAUUAAUUUUAAUUUAAAUAAUAAUUUAACAAAUUAAUAAACCUAAAAUAUUUAAUGAGAAAAUGAUAAUACAUUAUCAUACUUCUAUUACAUAAAUUAUUUUAAUUAUUUUAGUUUAAAUACAUAAAAGUAUUUUAAUUUUAUUUAAUUAAUAAAAAUAAAUUUAUAAUUUAAUAUUAUAGUAUAAAUUAAUUUAUAUUACAUUAAAUAAUUGUACAAUAUUAUAUUUUUACAAUAUAAUAUUAACUUAUAUUAUAUUAUUAUAUGAUUAUACUAUAUUAUAAUAAUUAAUAUCUAGAAAUAAAUUAUAUUAUAAUAUAAUAAUUUUUAAUAAUAUAACAUAGUACUUUAAUAUUUUAUUAUUUAAUAAUAGAGUAUAACAUAGUACUUUAAUAUUUUAUCAUUUAAUAAUAGUAUAUUAUUAACUCAUUUAUAUACUAUAAAAUAAUUUUUAAUACUUAAUUUAAAAAAUUAAUAAAAAUCCUAAAAUAUUAAUAAAUUUAAAUAAUAUUAAUUUAGUUUUAACAUUAAUAUAAAACAUUACCUUAUAUAAUACAAUUUAUACUAUAUCAAAGUAUAACAUUAUAACUUAAUAUAAUGUAUGUUAAUGCAAUACACCAUAGCACAGUACGUUAAACGUAUCCCAAAUGAAUUCAUUUUGUACUAGUUGAUCCUAUAGUGUUUGAUAAAAGUGCCCCAUUAAUAUGAUAAUUGUGUGGUUUUAUAUAUUUAUUUGUUUUUUGAGUGACACUAAACUGAUUCAUUAACCGAUUCAAUUGGUUGGAUCUAAUUUAGUUUAUUUGGUUAAUUUUGCUUUGCAUUCCGGUGGUUUGAUCCAAUUCCAAUGUGCCAUGGCCGUAACGUUCGCUUGACUUACGUGGCUUUGUAGGAAUCAUCAUCUUUACGUGGCUUUGUAGGAAUCAUCACGUUCACGUGACUCACCUGGCUUUGCGGGAAUCGUUGUCUUCUCUAUUUAUACGAGAAGAGUGAAGGUAAUUAUCUGGAUCUGGUAGGGGUUUUAUGGAAAUAUGAAGAAAGUUGGGGACACGUGGGAUGUAGCUUUGUUUAAGUUUAAAUUCCGACGUAAGAGAUGAUUAUUCGGUGAGCCGGAAGUAGGUUUGUUGGGCUACAGCCACAGACUUAUUAAGGUUUAUACUGUUUGUUCGGCGUUGGUUUGAAAUUGAAUCUUGAAUCAAAGGCGUGAGAGUUAUAGACCAACGAGAUUCUGCCAUUGAAGCAUCUAGAAAAAUUUCCAUUAAAUGAGUGCAUUUCAUUUUUAUACUGGUUGUUGCUCUAAUAUUUAAAAAAUAAUAAUUUACACGAAUUGCAAAUAAUAUGUUAGGAAACUAGAAGUUUCAAAGAUAUAUAAAAAGAAAUUGAAAAAAUAAUAACUAAUCAAUUAGUGACCAAUUAGGAUGUUUUAAGUACAUUCAUCAUGUGGUCAGGAACAUUAAUAAGCUAAAUUUUGUCUAGCAUUUAAUUAAUCGUUUUAAAUUUAAUUUGUCAGAAGUUUGUAGUAGACCUCAAAUUUAUAGGUUUUGACUUAACUCACUUUGGCAUGUUUGCAAAUUCUAAUUGUGAUGUAGGGCUUUUUAAUUACAAACUAUUAAAAAUUGAGAAUGAUCGUAUAUUAAUUUGAACCCACCAAGACGACCUGUUGCAUGGUGUUAUAACUAAACUAAAUAACACGAGCCUUUAAUUACGAGGGUUAAGAAUCAUAUUUUGUUAAAACCAAUUUUAUUACCUAUAAUUCAACUAAAUAAGAGUGAUCUAAGUGUAAUUGUCCUUAUCUUGAAUGUAACAAAAAUUUAUUGAUGUUCUAAACUAAUUAAUUUUCAUCAUAAUUUUUGCAUAAAGUAUCAAAAAAAAAAAUUAGCACAAAAAGGGGAAAAAAGUUGAGGAAACAUAACAAUUAAGUAAAGAUUUGUGGAGAAAAGAAGAGGCAAUCAAUUCAAGAUCUGUGAUGUUGGGCCGAUUGGCUCAACAUCUUAUUUGCCCUUCAUUGAGCCUUGAUCACAAGUAAUAAGUCAAUAAACGAAGAGGCCGCAGGGUGGAGUAUAUUGUUUCUUAAAGGUAAUUAGACAAACAAACAAACACCAGUUCUAUGUUUGUAGAACCAGACAGCUAAUACUCUAGAAAAUCAACGAUUGAGGGUGUUUGAGGGUCGGGAAAAUAGAAGAGAAAGUGAAAGAAAAAAGAACAGAGAAAAACUUUAUUAGAAGUAAUAGAAAAGUACAGUACACGUUACAGGUUCAAAGCUCAAAUGAGCUAUUUAUAGAAUAAAAUAAAUUAGAGCACUCUAGACUAAUUACUAAUAUUAGUUUAAAAUAAUUAGUGCCAGCUUGGCAAUCUGCUAUAGCAAACUUGCCAGCAUGGCAUACUGUUACUCAGCAACAGCCUUACCUCUGUAACAACCUUCUAAUAAUUGAGUGCAGCCAAUGACUUUAACUGCCCUAUCGUUUGCUUCCAUUCUGCGCAUCAGAUUCAUCAGAUUCAUCGCCAACUAUUCGACGCUCAAAUUCUUUCUCCACCUCCUCCUCAUCAUCGCUUGCUUCCAUUCUGCGCAUCACGAGAGAGUGUUUCACUUCAUCUGGAUCGCUAUCAUACUCCUCCACCGCCUCCGCUUCUUCCGGAGCUUCGGCCGCCGUUGUAGUAUCACUAGCCAUCAAUUAAUUAAUAACCGCCCAAUUUUAUCACUAGCCUUCUCAAAAUAAAUAAAUAAAUAUUUAAAUUUUAUCAAAAAUUCGAAAUUGCAAUUAAUCCGUCACACUGAAACCGUAACUAGAGGAAAUUGCACUCAAACUAAACCAGAUAAUCGAAAUUCCCUAAAUCACAAAUUAUUUUCAGAACCAAACAACAAUUGAAGGAUACGAGACAAGCAAACUCCACUAAAAAAUACUAAUUUUUGAAGCGAAUCUUCGACAAUAAAAAAACAGUCUAAGUUCAAAUUGUUUAAGUUCAAAUUCUGAGAUAAGAGAUGAUUCAGUCACCAUGACUCCAUGAGGCACGUUUGUUUGGCCACGGCCAGUCGACCACAGCUUGCUUCAAAUUGAAAAUCUUGAAGUUGAAUCUAAGCUGUGAAACAAAAUGGACCAAUGAGAUUAUGCCAUGGAAGCAUUUAGAAAAAUAUUAAAGAGGACAGAAUCAGUGUUUUAUAUUGGUUUUUAUUAUUAUUUUUUGAGAGACCCACAAACCAAAUGCAAAUUUUGGUUCCAUUAAAAUAUCAAUUUCUCAAGUGGCAUUAUACUUGUAUUAAAAUAUUAUUUUUAUACAGCAGAAAAUUUGGUUCCAUUAAAAUAUUAAUUUCUCAAGUGGCAUUAUACUUGUAUUAACUUGUAUUAAAAUAUUAUUUUUAUAUAAUUAUAAUUUAUAGUUGCAUUACACUGUAUAACAAAUGUGGUAUACAUGUGGGAUUUAGGUUUUAUUACAUUAAAAUACUAUUUAUAUUUUAAAUAUAAUUAUUUAAAGUUAACGGAUUGGUGGACGGCAUAAGUGUUUUGUCAACUUAGGGUAUACGAGUGAUACACUUGAAAAAUGUUGUAGCACAUUUGAUACGAGUGUCAUUUAAGGGUAUAUGGUUGAUAAUUUCCCUUAUAUUAAUUCAUAAUAUAACAUAUAAAUUUUAAGUUUAUUUAUGAAACUUGAUAUCAUAUUUCUUUUCAACAUAAUGUAAUAAUUAUAAUAACUAAUAUAUAAAAAUAAAUUAUAUUAUAACAGAAUAAUUGUUAAUAAUAUAACAUAAUAUUGUAAUAUUUUAUUAUUUAAUAGUAGAAUAUUAUUAAAUAAUUUGUAUAUUAUAAAAAUAAUUAUUUAAUACUUAAUUUCAGAUAUUACUAUUAAAACCCUAAAAUAUUAAUAAAUUUAAAUAAGGUUGAUUUAGUUUUAACAUUAAUAUAAAAUAGUAUUGCAUUACAUCUCAUUACAAUGCACUCUAAUGUAAUAUAUCAUCAUACAAUACAACUACACAGUAUGGCAAAUGCAUCUCUAGAAACUAAUUUUGAUAAAAUUGAAGACUUAGUAUAAGUUACAAAUAAAUUUCCAAUAUCAAGAUCAAAGUCAUUGCAAUAUUAAAAAAUAAAAAUCCCAUUUUAGGCCAUUUGUGAUUGCAAGCAUUUGUUUCAUUUACAGUUUUCAAUUAUUUUGAAACAGAACAUUCGAAUAAAUUAAUAUUGAGUAGAGUUUUCAAUGUCAUUUAGAUAGUUUAAAAAAAUGAAAAAGUGAUUAAGAUUGAAUGACUUUAAUUAUUAAGAUCAUAAUUAUGAUUAAAAGGAAAUUAAGGGUUUAUUAUUUAAUUUGAAAUUUGUACUUAUUAAAUAUUAUUUGUAAGAUCAAUACAUUUCCCGUAAUUUGUAAGUUGUCUUAAAUAAUAUCGUGUCUCAUAUAGUAUAAUCUUUUCGUUCCCACUUUAAACAUUAUUGGCAAUUUUUCAAACUAAUUACUUAUGUUGAAACAAUUUUAUGAUGCUUUAAAGUUCACUAGUUCAUAAUUUGCAUGGGAGAAAUUAUAUUGGAGCAUUUAUAUUCAAGUUUUUCUCACUUCAUUCUACUUUCUCUACAAAUAUCACUAGUAUUUAUACAAAAAUGUUUCACUAAAAAGAAUUUUUAUCACAUGUCAACAAUAUUACUUAGAAUAUCAUUUUCCCCCUCAAUUAAUAUAUAAAUGUGUGAGUUUGUGCGUGCCGGUCUUGGUGUCUCGAGUAUGUAUUUCUUUUUUUUAAAAAAAAUAUUUUUAUCACUUUUCAAUGUUAUUAUCUAAAAUAUUUUUUACGAAUCCCGCUUAUUUUCUACACUUCACAGGUUUAAUAUGGAACCAUCUAGUAUUGACAUACAUGGAUUUAUUUUAUAUUUUACAUUUAUAUUUUAAAUUUAAAAAAUAAUUUUAAAAAAUUAAAUGAGUUUAGAGUUAUAGAGAUAUAAAUUUUAUAAUUAGAAUUUAUCUGUAUUUUAUAAAAAAAUUUAAAAAAAUAUUUUUUAGAUUGAUAUUUUCUGGAAAGAUGAUUAAUUUUAAUAAAUAGAUUUAUAUGCUACAAAUAAAACUGAGUGUAUUUCAGAAAAUAAAAUUAAAAAGGGUGUUAUAAAGAUUUUCCUUUGUUGUCGAACGCAAACUGGUUAAUUCGGUUUUCACACAGAUGUUGAGACAACACGUGGCAACCUUAGACACGUUUCUUCUUACUACGGUGUUACGCAGCAUUGCAAGACUCCUGACAAAAAUACAAUAUUUAGGCCAAUUAAUAAAAAAAAAAAAAAGAACAAUAUGAAGCAAGACGUUUCAACGAUUUAUUGGGAAUGAGAUUAUUAAAGGGUUGUACUUUUAAAUUAUUUUUCUUUUAUUUAAUGUAAUCGCCACCCAAUCUUCUCCACUCGCAUGAAAAGUAUUUAAUUUCUUAAUUUAUUUUUUCACUUUAUAAUUCUGUAAAAAGAAGUCAAGCACUGUAUGAAGAAGUCAGGCACUCUAAUUCUGUAAGAUUCUAUUUAGUUAUUUUAGAAAAUAAGAUGUUAUUUUGAAUCCCAAAAUAUUCUGUUAACUGAGUGCAGCCAGUGAACAAUUGUUUCAAAAGAGGGAUAAGGUGAAUCAAAUAAAGUGAGAGCCUAAAAAACAUAACUAGAUAAGUGAAUGUACCCUUUCAAGCUCUGUUCAGAACAGAGUUAAAACAGUUGGUAACAGAUAGAUCUUAAUUUAUAGAGACACAUCACAACCAUGGGUUUUUGAAAAUNNNNNNNNNNNNNNNNNNNNNNNNNNNNNNNNNNNNNNNNNNNNNNNNNNNNNNNNNNNNNNNNNNNNNNNNNNNNNNNNNNNNNNNNNNNNNNNNNNNNNNNNNNNNNNNNNNNNNUAAUUGUCUUUCAUGCAUCAAAUGACAUUAAUGCUUGUUGACACUGUUUGUUUUCUGAUCUUUAACUCGAAUUGGUCUUUUUCCCAAAUUAUGGCUCACAUGGAAACACUUAUCGCUUAGAUUCGGCUAAUACGGAAACUCUUUGAGCUUCCAAUUACCUUGCUGCAAUAAUUCUCUUCUAAAGAAGGUACUAGCAGCUACCCCAUUAAUUAAAUUAUGCGUGCUUUAUGCGUUAUAUUGAGUAUAACAUUGCUGUCAAUACUUUAAAUGAGGACUAUUUUCACUUCAUUGUUAUAGAGAUGAUGACGAAAAUAAUAUGUUCACCCAGAAAACGAAUGAGAAAGAAGAAAAUAUGUAUAUAAAAGUAUAAUGUACAUGCAAUCCUAGAGAAUUUUGUAACCAAUAAAAUUGAAGAUCUUUAUUACAAGUAAAUAGAAACGUAAAAUACAAUCAUUUGGUAAUAUUGGUAGAAAUUAAUUUGUAUCGGUGAAUUUGUGAAGACACACCAGAAACAUGGCAUAAAGUUAGGAUAUUGGUGCCACCUAAGCAACCUAUUGUAUUUAUAGGUAGACUUUAGAUUGAUUACUAAUAAUUAGCUUCGUCAUCGGUGAAAAAAAUAGACAGGUAAUACUCUAGAAAUCUGUACAAUACACUUGCCGGCAUGGCAUACUUAUUUUCAUCAUAAUUUUUGCGUAAUGCUAAUGUAUCAGAAAAGAAUUUUAGAGCAAAGGGCCGAAAAAGGUUGAGGGAACAAAAAUAUUAAGCAAAGAUCUAUGGAUAAAAGAGGAGCCAUUCAAUUCAAGAACUUGUUUGUAGAAACAGACAGCUAAUACUCAAAAAAUCAGGGAUUGGUGGUGUUUGGGGAUUGAGAAAAUGGAAGAGAAUGUGAAAGAAAAAAAAAACAGAGAAAAUCUUUUUUAAAAGUUUGUAAUAAACCUCGAAUUUAUACAUAUGAUUUUACCCACUUUGACUUGUUUGUAAGUUCUAAUUGUGAUAUAAGAAUUUUUAAUUACGAAUCGUAAAGGAUUGAGAAUGAUCGUCUAAUAAUUUGAACCCACCAAGAACUGAGCCACGGCAUUAUAAGCCCUACAACUAAAACCAAAGAAUACUAGUGCUUAAUUACAACAGUUAAGAAUCAUAUUUUGUUAAGCCAACUUUAUUACCUAUAUAGUUCAACUAAAUGAGAGUGAUCUAAGUGUAACUGUCGUUAUUUUGGAUGUAAAAAUAAAAAUUUAUUAAUGUUCUAAAGUGACUCAUUUUCAUCAUAAUUUUUGCAUAAAGUAUCAAAAAUGAAUUUUAGUGCUAAAGGGGAAAAAAGUUGAGAGAACCUAAAAAUUAACCAAAGAUUUGUGGAGAAAAGAAAAGGGCAAUAAUUCAAUAUCUUGUCACGUUAGACCCAUUGACCUAAUAUCUUAUUUGCCGUUUAUUUAGCCCUGUUCACAAGUCGAUAAACGAGGAGACCGCGGGUGACAGGACAGAGUACUUUGUUUCUUAAAACAACAAUUUUAUGUUUGUAGAAAGGGAAAAUAUCCACCGUCCACCUGAUUUUGUCCACUUUUUUUAAAAUACACAAAUUCUAAUUUUUUUAGCUGCGCUCCACAUGACCUUAUAAUUUUUUUCACAUUUCCACCUCCGUCUGUAAACCGUCAAUAAAACUAACGGAAUUUUGUCCAAAUUACUUUUUAACCCCGAAAAUAAAAAAUUAUAUAUUUACCCUCAAUAAACGCCAAAAUAUUAACUUUGUGAGUAUUGUAGCCCUAGAUAAAGACUGAAAAUCUUGAAAUCCUUUCAAAAAUUUUAUUUUUUAAACAAAUAUUAUAAAAUCUCGCAAUCUCGCAACACAAAAGGACCCCACAUUUUCUCGGGAACCAAACAGGAACAGACGGAAGAAAGCGAACCUGCCAGAGAAGGACAGGAUUGGAAGUCCGCCCGGCGGGCUCUUCGGCCUCGAGCUCAAUCGGCGGCGGAAGAAUCGGACGCAUGGCGUCCGGAAACCUAGCCAAGCUCGGCUUCACACUACUAGCAUUACCGUCAUCGGCUUCACUAACCGUUGACGUUUUGGCAGUCCCUUUAGAAACAACAGUUUCUUCUGCUUUCUUAGGUUGUUGAUUAAAGAAGAAAGGGAGAUUGAGUUGGAAUUUCGGCAACCGCGAGAGUAUGCUUUUGUUUUCUUGUUUUCUGGGACUGGAAGCAAUUUCUGUGUUUUCCGCCAUGACUAUGGUCGAUGACUUUCAGAGUAGAAGAUUUUGGCUUUGCCUUUGCUUUUUCUUUCUUUUUUUUAUUUUUUUAAAAGCGAAAAUUUCACCACCUCUCGUUUCUUGCUUGCCUCUGCAGCUUCUCUUUCUUCACCUUCACUUUUAUUUCUCUCUUGCUUAUUAUUAAAUAUUGGAGCAGAAAAUAAUAAGUUUGUAAAGUGUGCGAACAGGUUUUUGGGUUCUUUUGAGUCUUUAUUUUCGCUCUCAAUUUGUGUGUCUUGUGCAGCCAUGAAUGCGAAUGUGGUGAGUAGAGACCAGAGAAUAAUUAAGCUUUGAGCUUCGAGUUUAUCAAAGCUUUUGUUUGGAUUCUUGAAACUGAAAUAACUUUUUUUUUUGCUUAUUACAGAUCUUAAACGACGUCGUUUUUUAAGCCCAAGUGAAAUUAUCAUUUUAGCCUUAUGACAUCAGCAACGCCUUGACGGUUUGCAGACGGAGGUGGAAAUGUGAAAAAAAUUAUAAGUUCAGGUGGAGCGCAGCUAAAAAAUUUAGGAUUUGUAUAUUUUUAAAAAAGUAAACAAAAUCAGGUGGACGGUGGAUAUUUCCCCUUGUAGAAAUAGACAACUAAUACUCUAGAAAAUCAUGGAUUGAUGGUGUUUGGGGAUCAUGAAAAUGAAAGAGAAAGUGAAAGAAAAAGGAAUAGAGAAAAUCGUUAUUAGAAGAAACAGAAACGUAUGAUACACUAUAAAGGUUCUAAGCUCAAAUGAGCUAUUUAUAGAAUAAAUCAGAACACUCUAGACCAAUAACUAAUAUUAGCUAAAAACAUCCGGUGCCAGCUCAGCAAUCUGUUAAGAGUGCACUUGCGUGAAUGGCAUACAGUUACACAGCAACAGCCUUGCAUUGUAACAACCUUCUAACAGUCUUGAAUCCAAAUACUCUUGUGCCCCUUCCUUAGCCAUAAUAUGAUCCCUGUGAUGAACCUAAUACUCCAACAUAUACAACUUUAAUAAAGGUGACAGACAAGAUGAAAUCAAGUGAAGUUAAAGCAUAAAAGACAUAAUCAGAUAAGUGAAUCCCUUCAUGCUCUGUUCGAAAUAGAGUUUAAAACAAUUGACAAUUGUUGGGAAUUUUUGGCUCCCACCCAAGAUCUCCGCUAGCAAUAUGUCAAAUAAAUAACAAAUAAAAAAAUACAAUAGAGAAUACUCCAAUCACACAACACAAGAGUUACCUGAAAAACUCUAUUACCGAAAAAUUGUUACAACCUCUCUCUCAAAUUAUUUUAUCUUACAUCCAAACCCCAAAUAUACCCAAAGCUUCCCACACAAUCACUGCACCCUCUUUUCACUAACUCCCUAGUUAUUCACUUCCAUCUCUCUUUUGGCACUUCAAUGAGUUUCCGAUUUACAGAUCUUGCAGCUUUUCUCAUUGUCAAUGAAAAUGGUCCAAAAUCCGGAUGAACAAAUCUAGCAGCCACCACACCAGCUUGAUAAUUUGGGCCAAGCGUGUUGACAUUUUACCAUACCUUUGAUGAAGCAUUCAUUGUGUAUGCAUGGAAGUCUUUGCAUGGAUUAGCACUCAUCCAUUCAUUCAAUGCAAGAGAAAUCUAAGAGAUAAUGCCAGCAAUUAAUGCUCAAAUGAAGCUAAUUAAAUUUCCAGCAGAACGCACAGAAAUUUUUAGUUUUCUUUCUCAAUUUUUUUCUGCAAAUGAACAUUAAACUAUUCAAGUCACUGCCAUCCGACAGCAAUUGACAGAACUUGUCUUACUGAAUUUAGAGACACAUUACAACCAUGGAUUCAAAAUGAUGUCUUGAAAACAUAAUUUUAAGCAAUAGUACAUGAUCAUUUUGAACAUUACAAAUGGAUAUAUAAUUAAUUAAGUGUAAGAUCCAUGCACUUCAAGUAAUAAUCUAGUCACAUUUGACAGAAAGCAUUUAGCAAUCCACAAACACUAAUACGUACCUAGCUGCAUAAUCAGUAGCCAUCUUCAAACUAAGACCAAACCCAAAACUAGAUAUCCUACUCCAUAUUUGCUUCAAUAGCUCGUAUUAACCACUUAACUAUGCCAAACAGAAACCCAUCUAACACUUCAUCACUCAAACUAAACCCAAAAAUUACUACACACUUUGAAAUAGACAAGCCCUAUUAAAAAUACACAAAGCACGGAUGAUGCUAUCAUAGCUCAUGAUUAGCUCGGCAUCUCUCUGUCAAGUAAUUUAGUAUGCUUUGUACCUAUUAAUUAUAUUCCACAAAGCACAGAUGUUUAUUUGAGAACUUUCUCUCCUUUCAACCUACUAGGCCAAAAGCCUUCUACACAGAUUCCAGCAAACAAUCAUUAUACAGCACCAAAAAACGAGACUGGAUUAAUUGACAAGCACUAAUGAAAGUACAGCUAUUAGCUAUUUAUAAAUUGUCACUCAAAUCAAAUAAUACCUGUGUCGACCUGCAACAUUGUCCCAUAUAAGAAGCCCCAGUUGCUGUGCAAAAAGCCCCAGUUGCUGUACAAAAGGCUCAUUACUCUCCUUCUUCUCUUUCUCCAUUCUCUCCUCUGCUGCAUCAUUCUUUUAGCACCAUUGCCAUUAUCAUUAUUCCCUUUACUCACUUCCACUGCACCCUCCGUACUCCUUAUGCAUCAUUACCCUCUAUUCCUUUGACUUUAACCGCCCCAUCAUUCCUCCCCUCUUCUUCAUAAACUUCUUCUUCCUCUACAGCCUCAUAAACAUCCCCUUCUUCAUCUUCUUCUUCUAAUUCUCUGUCAUGUUCCUCUUCUUCAUCAUCAUCAUCAUCAUACUCAGCUGGAGCACCACCUUGGCCAUCAGAUUCAAUGUAAGAGUGAAUCUGGACCCUUCAAUUCAUUCGACGCUCAAAUUAUGUCUCCUCCUCAUCAUCAUCGCUUGUUUCCCUUCUGCGCAUAAUGAGAGAGUGUUUCACUUCAUCUGGAUCGCUCUCAUACUCAUCCACAGCCUCCGCUUCUCCCGCAGGAAUGUGGACACUUUGAACUAUUGGAAGCUCUGAAUCUUUAUCCUCCUCAACCUCCUCAUCGCUGGCUUCCCUUCUGCGCAUCGCAAGAGAGCGUUUCACUUCAUCUGGAUCGCUAUCAUACUCCUCCACCGCCUCUGCUUCUUCUGCAGCUGCGGCCGCCGUUGUAGUAUCGCUAGCCAGCAAUUAAUUAUUAAAAGCCCAGUCGUUUUAUGAAUUUUAAUUUUAAUUUUAUAAAAAUAUUCGAAAUCGCACUUAACCCUUCAAACUGAAACCGUAACUAGAGGAAAUUGCACUCAAGCAAAACCAAAUAAUCUGAAAAUCCCUAAAAUUCCAAAUUAUUUUCAGAACCGAACAACAAUUGAAGGAUACGAGACAAGCAAAAUCCCCUAAAAAAUACUAAAUUUUGAAGCGAAUCCUCGAUAAUCGAAACCCUAGAGAGGUUAAAUUGAGAUUUUGAAGGAUUGGGAUCUAGGUUUAGCGAUUCUCGAGAAACCCUAGAUCUUUAGGGAACGAGGAGAAUUUUUUAUAAUUUCCACUUUUAAAUAAGGGAAAAUGACAUAG